AGAGUUUGAUCCUGGCUCAGAUUGAACGCUGGCGGCGUGCUUAACACAUGCAAGUCGAACGUGAAAGUCCUUCGGGGCGAGUAAAGUGGCGCACGGGUGAGUAACGCGUGGAUAAUCUACCCUUAAGAUGGGGAUAACGGCUGGAAACGGUCGCUAAUACCGAAUACGCUCCCGAUUUUAUCAUUGGGGGGAAAGAUGGCCUCUGCUUGCAAGCUAUCGCUUAAGGAUGAGUCCGCGUCCCAUUAGCUAGUUGGCGGGGUAACGGCCCACCAAGGCAACGAUGGGUAGCCGGUCUGAGAGGAUGACCGGCCACACUGGAACUGGAACACGGUCCAGACUCCUACGGGAGGCAGCAGUGGGGAAUAUUGCGCAAUGGGCGAAAGCCUGACGCAGCGACGCCGCGUGAGGGAUGAAGGUUCUCGGAUCGUAAACCUCUGUCAGGGGGGAAGAAACCCCCUCGUGUGAAUAAUGCGAGGGCUUGACGGUACCCCCAAAGGAAGCACCGGCUAACUCCGUGCCAGCAGCCGCGGUAAUACGGAGGGUGCAAGCGUUAAUCGGAAUCACUGGGCGUAAAGCGCACGUAGGCGGCUUGGUAAGUCAGGGGUGAAAUCCCACAGCCCAACUGUGGACCUGCCUUUGAUACUGCCAGGCUUGAGUACCGGAGAGGGUGGCGGAAUUCCAGGUGUAGGAGUGAAAUCCGUAGAUAUCUGGAGGAACACCGGUGGCGAAGGCGGCCACCUGGACGGUAACUGACGCUGAGGUGCGAAAGCGUGGGUAGCAAACAGGAUUAGAUACCCUGGUAGUCCACGCUGUAAACGAUGGGUGCUGGGUGCUGGGAUGUAUGUCUCGGUGCCGUAGCUAACGCGAUAAGCACCCCGCCUGGGGAGUACGGGUCGCAAGGCUGAAACUCAAAGAAAUUGACGGGGGCCCGCACAAGCGGUGGAAGUAUGUGGUUUAAUUCGAUGCAACGCGAAGAACCUUACCCAGGCUUGACAUC
Molecule: ribosomal RNA, 997 nt
Filed under: uncultured bacterium
Lineage: Bacteria
Description: bacterial SSU rRNA
Rfam family: Bacterial small subunit ribosomal RNA
Source: RNAcentral